Oreochromis aureus is the source of this 2368-nucleotide long non-coding RNA. NCBI's taxonomy places the organism in Eukaryota, Metazoa, Chordata, Actinopteri, Cichliformes, Cichlidae. The record is from Ensembl.
CCACAUGAGAUGUGUCAAAAAGAGAGGGAUUUAAGAUUUAAUUUGUUUAAUGUGAAAGGGUUUUACUAGGAUUUUAUAAUGAUUGGGGUUGUUUGAUAAUUUAGAUAUGGUAAAACUGAGGCAGAGAUUGUUAAUUCUAAAGAAAGGAGUAAAAUGAACUGAAUUCUGUUUAGAAGAUAAAUUGCUGGGGUUAAAAAGAAGUUGUACACCAAAUUAAAGGGGAAAUUGUGGGAAUAAAGGAUAUGCUUUGGGGAAAAUAGUGAACAUUUUAUGAGUAGAAAAUGUGGGAUUUUUCUUUUUGAUUUUUAGGAUAAGUGGUAACAGGGACAUAAUGUUAGAAUGUUGUUAUUUUUAGGGUAGUGGAGAGCUUUUUAUGAGGAUGUUAAAAGUCUCGCUGACUCAAAUGAAUAAUAUUGGAGAUUAUAUAUGUAGAAAUGAUUUUUCAUACACAUUGCAUUUUGGGGCCUUUAACGGAGUUGUGGCUCAGAGAGUCGUCUCUUGAGGGUCAUAAACUUUUGGUUAACGUUAUGAUUAGCCAAUCUACUGUGAGAAUGACCUGAGUUUUGAAGGAUUGCACACGCUUACAGACAUACAGAGUUCAUCAACACACAGGACAGUAUUGAUUUGAGGCCUAGGGCCUGAAAUUCCUUUAGCUUUUAACUGAAUUUGAGUUGGCCCAAUAACAAAUGACAGAAAGAGGAACUGAAUAGGAGUUUUGCUUGUAACUAAACUGAGUGACAUAUAAAAUAUUGAGAUAACAGAUGCAGCUCUAACUUAGUCCUCUUAUAUAAAAAGCAGUUACAGAAUACAGAAAUACAGAAAACAGAAGCAAAGGGAGAAAGCUCAUAUAUUUUGGUUAAGUCUGAUAAAGUUUAAGUUAGAAGGAGUCAUUACAUUAAAAGCAGCAAAAUGAAAUAAAAUGAUAUAUUCAAACAGGUUAUCACCCAGAAAAUGGGAGUUCAAAAUACAGUUAGAGUUCAGCUUUUAGCUAUGAUGAAGUUUAUCUAGGAGCAAUUAACUAUGUGCUUACACUGAGUGAUUAAAGCGGUUGUUUUUUAUUAUCCUUUUAGUAGAAUAAGCCGUUAUAAUGAUUUUAUGAUGAUUUUGCUGGUGAGAGGUGACUUUAGAUGAGAGGCACUUGCAGCAGCAGGGACAGUUUUGUGCACAGGAUGUUGAUGAUCAGAUAAGGAAAAACAGGAAACGUAUGACAGCAGUGCUGUAAGACUGUUAGAAAGCUGUAGAUUGAGAUGAGUGAUGUUUAAGAUUAUAUAGGAAUAAAAGUCAAAACCAAAUACAAAAUUAGGUUCAUGUUUUGAGUAACAUUAGGUUUGAAUAAAGAAGACAAUUGAGGGACCCAGAAAAGGGACAGACCACUAGAGAUUCACAAGUGUAAGGGGUCUUUCACCGGGUAUGAGUGGGUUCUGGGGUGAGGGAGGAGUGCUGAUUGAGCUCUGCUCGCACUCUUAUUCUCUCAUGCCCCUGAUCAACUUUAGGCUCGCUGAUACUUUGGUGUGAUUAACCUCAAGCAUGAGUGUUCUCAAGUGGGAGCGGGCAUUUUAUAACUAAGACCACCUAGAUGACAUGAGGUUGUCUGAUUUGUUAAGUCACAGGAUGCCAAGAGAGGGUCAGAGCUAAGAACAGUGAUCCUAAAUGUCCAUGAUGUCUGGGAUGGACAGGGAGCAGCUGAAUGGGCCAAGCAGUGACCUAACACACAGUAUGGUGACCUCUUGUGGUCAAGAGGUCAAGAGUGGGAGUGUCAGGAAUAGAAAUAUUGUCCUGCUAUUAGUUGCUGCUAUUUUUAUAAUCAUCAUUAACAUUUCAGUAUUAAUAGUGAGGUUGCAUUUAGAUGCAUUCAGAUGUUCAGAUAUAUGGUUAUAGCCUUUAUUACAGGUCCAAAGAAGAACCAUUUUAAAUGGUUCUGUUGAAUCUAUAAUUUGAAUGUUAUUAAUGCUUUUAUGAUCUCUGUGUAGAGGGCAGAGACAGGAAACAAAACGCGUCUGCAGAGCAUGUUUUGCAGAAGUGAAACUGAAGCCAGAAGUUUAAGUGCAAGGGUGUUUAGUAUGCAUUUAUUGCGGAUUAAGCCUUAAGCAGUUGUGGUAGAUUGAAACAGUUGUUUAUAUAUUUCACAUAUAAGUCAAGAUCAUUACACACAGGAUGGCCUUAGCCUGGUUGGUUGCUUAAGUUGAGGUCAACUAAGGAUCAGAAAAGCAGAUGCAAACUCUGCACGCACAGACAGACAAAUAGUGAGAGGUCAUGACACGUACGUAGCAUACACUGCAGACACAUACACACAGAAAUGCAGAAGUGUGCCGACGUACUUAGAGGAAGUGCACCAGACGAGCGACAGCGAAGAGGGGAAGCACCGACC